UGGGGAAUUUUGGACAAUGGGCGAAAGCCUGAUCCAGCAAUGCCGCGUGUGUGAAGAAGGCCUUCGGGUUGUAAAGCACUUUUGUCCGGAAAGAAAUCCUUGGCUCUAAUACAGUCGGAGGAUGACGGUACCGGAAGAAUAAGCACCGGCUAACUACGUGCCAGCAGCCGCGGUAAUACGUAGGGUGCAAGCGUUAAUCGGAAUUACUGGGCGUAAAGCGUGCGCAGGCGGUUUGCUAAGACCGAUGUGAAAUCCCCGGGCUCAACCUGGGAACUGCAUUGGUGACUGGCAGGCUAGAGUAUGGCAGAGGGGGGUAGAAUUCCACGUGUAGCAGUGAAAUGCGUAGAGAUGUGGAGGAAUACCGAUGGCGAAGGCAGCCCCCUGGGCCAAUACUGACGCUCAUGCACGAAAGCGUGGGGAGCAAAACAGGAUUAGAUACCCUGGUAGUCCACGCCCUAAAACGAUGUCAACUAGUUGUUGGGGAUUCAUUUCCUUAGUAACGUAGCUAACGCGUGAAGUUGACCGCCUGGGGAGUACGGUCGCAAGAUUAAAACUCAAAGGAAUUGACGGGGUCAUAGCUGUUUCCU
RNAcentral lists this ribosomal RNA (587 nucleotides) under uncultured bacterium. RNAcentral's name for it is "partial 16S ribosomal RNA". It matches the Rfam family "Bacterial small subunit ribosomal RNA", at positions 355 to 1375 of the family's 1533-position model. The record is from RNAcentral.